GUGGGGAAUAUUCCGCAAUGGACGAAAGUCUGACGGAGCAACGCCGCGUGAGUGAUGAAGGUUUUCGGACUGUAAAGCUCUGUUGUUUAGGACGAAAGUGCCUGUUGCAAAUAGUUACAGGUAUUGACGGUACUGAACGAGGAAGCCACGGCUAACUACGUGCCAGCAGCCGCGGUAAUACGUAGGUGGCAAGCGUUGUCCGGAAUUAUGUGGCGUAAAGAGCAUGUAGGCGGGAAUCUAAGUCUGUUGUGGAAAUGCGGGGCUCAACCCCGUAUUGCGAUGGAAACUGGGUUUCUUGAGUGCAGGGGAGGAAAGGCGAAUUCCUAGUGUAGCGGUGAAAUGCGUAGAUAUUGGGAGGAACACCAGUGGCGAAGGCGCCUUUCUGGACUGUGUCUGACGCUGAGAUGCGAAAGCCAGGGUAGCGAACGGGAUUAGAUACCCUGGUAGUCC
RNAcentral lists this ribosomal RNA (450 nucleotides) under uncultured bacterium. RNAcentral's name for it is "partial 16S ribosomal RNA". It matches the Rfam family "Bacterial small subunit ribosomal RNA", at positions 354 to 796 of the family's 1533-position model. The record is from RNAcentral.